RNAcentral lists this ribosomal RNA (496 nucleotides) under Bacillus sp. KB114. RNAcentral's name for it is "bacterial SSU rRNA". It matches the Rfam family "Bacterial small subunit ribosomal RNA", at positions 1 to 486 of the family's 1533-position model. The record is from RNAcentral. Lineage: Bacteria; Bacillati; Bacillota; Bacilli; Caryophanales; Bacillaceae.
UAGAGUUUGAUCCUGGCUCAUGACGAACGCUGGCGGCGUGCCUAAUACAUGCAAGUCGAGCGGACCUUUUAAAAGCUUGCUUUUGAAAGGUCAGCGGCGGACGGGUGAGUAACACGUGGGCAACCUGCCUGUAAGACUGGGAUAACUUCGGGAAACCGGAGCUAAUACCGGAUAAUAUAAGGAACCUCCUGGUUCUUUAUUGAAAGAUGGUUUCGGCUAUCACUUACAGAUGGGCCCGCGGCGCAUUAGCUAGUUGGUGAGGUAACGGCUCACCAAGGCGACGAUGCGUAGCCGACCUGAGAGGGUGAUCGGCCACACUGGGACUGAGACACGGCCCAGACUCCUACGGGAGGCAGCAGUAGGGAAUCUUCCACAAUGGACGAAAGUCUGAUGGAGCAACGCCGCGUGAGCGAUGAAGGCCUUCGGGUCGUAAAGCUCUGUUGUUAGGGAAGAACAAGUGCGAGAGUAACUGCUCGCACCUGACGGACCUAACCAG